GCCGAGGUAGCUCAGCUGGUUAGAGCAUCGGAUUCAUAACCCGAAGGUCGGCAGUUCAAGUCUGCUCCUCGGUACAA
This 77-nucleotide transfer RNA is filed under the name Chitinophagaceae bacterium. RNAcentral describes it as "tRNA-Met". It matches the Rfam family "tRNA". Rfam says of the family: Transfer RNA (tRNA) molecules are approximately 80 nucleotides in length. Their secondary structure includes four short double-helical elements and three loops (D, anti-codon, and T loops). Further hydrogen bonds mediate the characteristic L-shaped molecular structure. tRNAs have two regions of fundamental functional importance: the anti-codon, which is responsible for specific mRNA codon recognition, and the 3' end, to which the tRNAs corresponding amino acid is attached (by aminoacyl-tRNA synthetases). tRNAs cope with the degeneracy of the genetic code in two manners: having more than one tRNA (with a specific anti-codon) for a particular amino acid; and 'wobble' base-pairing, i.e. permitting non-standard base-pairing at the 3rd anti-codon position. The record is from RNAcentral. Lineage: Bacteria; Pseudomonadati; Bacteroidota; Chitinophagia; Chitinophagales; Chitinophagaceae. RNAcentral also lists the same sequence under 1 other name.